RNAcentral lists this ribosomal RNA (690 nucleotides) under uncultured bacterium. Its description in RNAcentral is "bacterial SSU rRNA". It matches the Rfam family "Bacterial small subunit ribosomal RNA", at positions 125 to 799 of the family's 1533-position model. The record is from RNAcentral.
CCUGCCCAGAAGCGGGGGAUAACACCUGGAAACAGAUGCUAAUACCGCAUAACAACUUGGACCGCAUGGUCCGAGCUUGAAAGAUGGCUUCGGCUAUCACUUUUGGAUGGUCCCGCGGCGUAUUAGCUAGAUGGUGGGGUAACGGCUCACCAUGGCAAUGAUACGUAGCCGACCUGAGAGGGUAAUCGGCCACAUUGGGACUGAGACACGGCCCAAACUCCUACGGGAGGCAGCAGUAGGGAAUCUUCCACAAUGGACGAAAGUCUGAUGGAGCAACGCCGCGUGAGUGAAGAAGGGUUUCGGCUCGUAAAACUCUGUUGUUAAAGAAGAACAUAUCUGAGAGUAACUGUUCAGGUAUUGACGGUAUUUAACCAGAAAGCCACGGCUAACUACGUGCCAGCAGCCGCGGUAAUACGUAGGUGGCAAGCGUUGUCCGGAUUUAUUGGGCGUAAAGCGAGCGCAGGCGGUUUUUUAAGUCUGAUGUGAAAGCCUUCGGCUCAACCGAAGAAGUGCAUCGGAAACUGGGAAACUUGAGUGCAGAAGAGGACAGUGGAACUCCAUGUGUAGCGGUGAAAUGCGUAGAUAUAUGGAAGAACACCAGUGGCGAAGGCGGGCUGUCUGGUCUGUAACUGACGCUGAGGCUCGAAAGUAUGGGGUAGCAACAGGAUUAGAUACCCCUGGUAGUCCAUA